AAGCAUCAUUGAUUUGAUGCACCUGGCUGAACUCUCGAGUGGAACACAGAAAGUGGAAAGUUACUCUGCAUGGUAUUUUACUUCGAAAGAGAAGUUGCAAAAAUGGGAUAAAUUUCAAAGACAAACGUUUGAGAAAUUAUGGAGACCCUGAGCAAAGAGUUAACAACCAUUCCACUGGAAGAUGCUGCACAGUAAUCACUUCGUGUUGCACCAGCUCAGUUGGAUUGUCCUGCUCAGCUCUUCAGGAAUUUUUGGAAGGAUUUUUUUUUUGUUUCUGAAACUCAUCUAAAGGUAAUUAAGCUUUUUAUCUAAUAAAAUAAUAGCAAUUAAAAUUCAUUUAUUUUAUACAUAUUUACCAAAAUUUCUUUCAAAUGACAGAUAGGACUGAUAAAUUUUAUAUAUGGUGUAUGUAAGUUCAGACUGAAUAUAAACUUGCUCAACUGACUGGUUUAACUUGUAGGCAACUGAACAGGACUAAUGACUUAGAUGUCUCCUUAUCUUUUUAGCUACAUCGCCUUUUUAAAUUAUAUAUUUCCAAACUUCCAAUAUAUUAUGGAAUAACAUACAAAAUCACGUGUAAAGGGAAAAAAAAUGUUGCCUAUUCUAUCAAAAUUAGAAAAAAAAAAAUAAAAAGAAAGAAUAGGAGAUAUUAAAGUAUGAGUUUUACUUAAUUGUUCAAGGGUGUUCCACAGAACCUUAAAAAUAAUUGUUACAUGCCAUCAACAACUUUUACAAUUUUAUUCAUUACAGAUCUCUAUGCAAAGAAACACCCUAAGAUGGAUAGGAACAAAAUAGCCUGUUCUUCAAAAAAUGUUUUGAAUGAGAUCAAGAGGUUUUUAAAUAUAUGUGCAUAUAUAUAUAUAUAUAUCUAAAAUAUCCCUUAUAAGCAUUAGAGAGCCCAGCCAUUGCCACACUUGGCAUUGUUGUUCUGCAUCUGGACCAGGUUUGCCUUCUCACCAUGAGAAGGAAAUUCACAUCUGUUUAAAUUUUUGCAGUAAUUUAUAAUCCCAACCACUAAAAUUAGAAACAGAUUCUGGUUAAAUUAAAAGGUGAUGUGAAAAAAAAGAAUCCUUCAUAAUAUGUUUUCCAUGAGAUGGGGGAGGUGUAAGAGGAUAAAAAGAUUAUAAAUCAUCAGGUAGAGAAUCAAGAAACCCAAAUAAUAAAAUAAGCACGGAGAUAAGAGAGGAUCUUUAACACAAUUUCAUCCUUGUAUGUUAAGAUCUGAAAGAAGUUUCAUGGCCACAAUUUUUACUUCUCUGUCGUUUAUGCCUGUAUUGGAUAAUCUGAGAAAAUGCAUUGUGAUUUUCUAGUCGGUCUCCAUUUUGGAUGCAUUUGAUUUUGGAUCUUGUUCUACUGUUUUGGUAGCUGUUUUUCCUUUCAAUGAGAGAUUAAAGAAUCACAGACCAAACGUUUACACCUAAUAUAUAAAACCAUGAUAUCAGUAGAUGAGCAAGUUACCAGCAUGUAAGGACACCCAAAAAGACAAUCAGAAGUGAGAAAGUUCUUUGAGAUAGGAACUGGACUGACUAGAUCUGGAAAAAGGAAAGCCAGAUAGACAAGUGUAUAGGGAAGUGGACUGACAACUGGGUGAAGUCUAGAGGUCACUUCCAACGCCUACAAUUCUGUGAUUCAGAUCAGUCAUGGUAGAAAUUGGCCUGUUUUGACACAAGUUAUAAAUACCUAAUUAGCUGUUUUGUUUGUUUGUUUGUUUGUUUGUUUUAAUCUCAUUAGUUUAAUAAAAUAAUACCUUAAUAGGUGUAUAUGAGUUUGCAUCACUUAAAAAAGGCUAUAUUAUAUACAAUUUAUGUAGAUAAGGAGGACGAUCCAUUUCCUUACUAUAAUUCACUCCAAAAGGACAGGCUGGAUAGAGAGCAAUCUGUAUAGCAUGUCAUUCACUUUAAGGCUAUACUCUGAAAGUAAUGCCUCCUAUUUACUUCAGUGGGAACUACGACAGAUGCAAAGAGCACAAUUAAACUAUUUGAUGAAGCAAAUUCUCAGCUGCUCUUUUCCAACAUAGUCACUGCCACAAGAUAGGCUUUUUUUUGUGGUUUUUUUUUUUUUUUGUUUUUUUGUUUUUUUGUUUUUUGUUUGUUUGUUUUGUUUUGUUUUGUCUUUGCCAGUGAUAAACAAGAGCCUGCAUGCCACGCUUGUAAAAAUCUGCACUGGUGGAGGUGACCCAGUGUCACAGUAGCCACUGCUGAAGUGCACCAUCUAUUCACUGUUUGGUAUCUACAAACGCUCAGCAUGGAGGAAUUCAUUUACACACAUUUGCUUCAUACACCAUUUUGUCAGAGUGCCCCUCUGCUACCAUUUGUCUCACAGCAACAAAAUUUAAUGGUGGGAAAAUUCAUCCUCUACCCCCAGCAUGCACCUCUGAUGCCGUGGGCCAGCAUAAUAAAAUAGGAGGUGUUACUUUCAAAGCAGCUCUUAUAGAAUAAUAACAUCUGUUAUUUUAUUAUUGGGAAGGAGCUAGAUACAACUAGCAUAUUGUUAGGAGAUGAUAGCAUCACACAAACAACUAACAGAUCAUUUGAUAGCUCUUCUGUUUUCCAUUGGGUCCUUUCCAUUAGAGCUUGAAAGUCAUAAUCUGUGAAGUUUCCUCAGAACUGCAAGAAUAACUUUGUGGAACCCUCAAGGUAGCAACUAAUUGUUUCAUCUUUCCCUUCUUUCCAGGUCUGAGAUGAUUGAACUCAAGGGUUCAAAUUUUGAGGUACAAGAGGAAUAGUAACAUAAAACCAAAGAGAGGAAAAAAGAUGAGAUACCAGUGGAAAAGUACAAGAAUUGCUUCAAACCACAACACAGUGGGGAUCUCAUGAACUUCAAGCCCAGUGAGAUUAUAAAUGCUUCCAGGAGUUGAUGUCGCUAACCACUGGCUUUAAUCUUGACCAUUUCUCACUUAUGCCACAGAAAGGUCAGUGCCUUGUGUUUAAUUGUGCUGUAAGUAUGAAACUAUUGUUUUCAAGCUAACGCAGGUGGUGGGAGGAAGAGGAGAAGCUACCUUCCAAGCUAAUUACAGAGGCACAGCUCCUCUAUUUUAUGAGCAGCAGUAGAGGGGAGAAGAGCCAAAAUUAUUUUUCUCUGAUGACUGAAGAAAUAUUUAUGAUGUGCCGUUCUCAGAGACAAAGAGAUUACACUACUCCUCUGAGUUUCUUCAGUCUAAUUAUUUUUUAUUUUUCCUGAUUCUGUAUGGAUUUGAUACUGUGAAAGCUUAACUCAUGUUUCAAAUUCUUUAUUAAUACAGUCAUCUUGUGUUAGGCAGCUGAAGUCUUCAGCUUAGAAUCAGUUUUUCUAAUCAUCUCUUACUCAAGAUUCUUGAUUAUCUACAGUAAACUCUUGAAAACAAUACAAAAACAUCCAACUGAAUUUUAAGAUCGAGGCCCAAGCCUUCAUUUCAGGGAAUUUGGUCAUGCUACAGUGAUACCAUACUCUGACAUGUUUUCUAUUGCCAUUGCACCGUGCUUAGCCUUUUAGCAUAUAGAUUUUGAUGUGAUCUUAAGGAAUGCAUUUACGACAUUUUUACACAUAUGGGGAGGUAACUUGUUUAAUAACUAGAUAACUCAGAAAACGAAUUGGUCUAAAGGAUUUUCACUAAAUUUAAUGCAUGGUAAUUUCGUAGGAACUACAAAAACAAAGUGUCCUUUACCUCAAAUUCCCUAAUUAUCCCUAUGCUAUGUUAAAUACGUCCUCGUUAUGAAUUAAUCUAAACGUAGUUCUAAGUUUUCAGCAUAUCUACAUUAGUAUAUGAUGAUAUCUUGAUAAAUAAAUAUCACCUGCAGGAAACGCUGAGUGUUUUUUAACUCUGCAUAUCAUUGUUUGUUGUGGUACGAAUUGUGAAAGAAUGGCAGCAUUUGAAAGACACCUGCAAACCCUGGUCUACUGCUUGAUUUGCUAAUGCAGCAUCAUGAAACAGUAGUACCUGCUGAAAAUUACUGUGAUAUUGCAGUAAAUAAUCAAGUACAUUUUUAAGAUGUGGGAAAGGUUGCAAUAUGGUUGACUACUAUGAACAUUUUUUAUUAUGUUAGCAUUAAUUUUGAGCAUAAAAUUCAGUCCCUCUUCCUCAAGCUCUUUUUCUCAAUAUUACUUUCUCUUCUUUUCUGUAAGAACUUUGGCAAUAAAAUGAAUGUUUUCGGCAGCUGACAUAAUUCAAUUACAGGAAUUUCCUGAGCUGUGCCUGUUUGGCUACCUCUGGGGAACGGCUGCGAGUUGGGGUUGUGACAGCAGUCAGCAGAGCUCUCUAUGAGCAAUGAGUGAACAGAAAGUUCAGCUCCUUCGAAAGACAUAUUUUAAGGGGAAUCUCAUUAAAAAGACUCUGAACAUACAAACAAAGUGGUAAUGUAUUCUUAAUGAGGCAAGGUGAUGUCUUGCUGUGCAAAUGUGCAAAGACCUGUAAAACUGCAGUUCUCCUUCCACUCACUGAAGACAAUUGUAAGCGUUUGUCAAUGCGUCACUGUCCUGUUUACUGGUGAGACUGGUGAGCUGCAUGGAAAGACACCUCUGCCAAUAAAAAGAUGCAGAUAUCAUGCAAAAAAUAAGGAUGUCCAGAACCAAAACAGAAGAAUCGACGUAGGAUGCUCCAAAAAGAAUGCUUUCUACUUAUUUUCAUGGAAACUAUGCACAAUAAAGAGCACAAUAACACUAUUUGAUAGAGCAAUUUUUUAGCUGCAAUCUGUCUCACGACAACAAAAAGUAAUAGAAUAUUGGUGAGAAGGUUCAACCCCUACUGCCAUACCACCAGUACCCAUCUUUGAUGUCAUGGGACAACAUAACAGAAUAGGAGGCAGUACUUUUAGAGCACCUCAUAUUUACCUAUCACCUAGAGGAAAAAAUCUUAUAGUCUUCCUGUGAAUGAAACUGU
This is a long non-coding RNA of Lagopus muta (rock ptarmigan), 4855 nucleotides long. RefSeq lists it as uncharacterized. Lineage: Eukaryota; Metazoa; Chordata; Aves; Galliformes; Phasianidae. The record is from RefSeq and is a predicted model, not a curated record. The transcript has 6 exons.